This 307-nucleotide unclassified non-coding RNA is filed under the name uncultured Coniochaetales. RNAcentral describes it as "sequence contains ITS1". The stretch from base 1 to 105 matches the Rfam family "5.8S ribosomal RNA", at positions 50 to 154 of the family's 154-position model. Lineage: Eukaryota; Fungi; Ascomycota; Sordariomycetes; Coniochaetales. The record is from RNAcentral.
GAAAUGCGAUAAGUAAUGUGAAUUGCAGAAUUCAGUGAAUCAUCGAAUCUUUGAACGCACAUUGCGCCCGGCAGUACUCUGCCGGGCAUGCCUGUUCGAGCGUCAUUUCAACCCUCAGGCCCUGCCUGGUGUUGGGGCCCUACGGCUGCCGUAGGCCCCGAAAGUUAGUGGCGGGCUCGCUGCAACUCCGAGCGUAGUAGUCUACACGUCUCGCUAUGGAGUACCGCGGCGGCGCUCCGGCCGGCAAAGACCACCAUCUUUAACCAAGGUUGACCUCGGAUCAGGUAGGAAUACCCGCUGAACUUAA